Molecule: ribosomal RNA, 556 nt
Filed under: uncultured bacterium
Lineage: Bacteria
Description: bacterial SSU rRNA
Rfam family: Bacterial small subunit ribosomal RNA
Source: RNAcentral
GAACUUGCCUCUUGGUCUGGGACAACUGUUGGAAACGACAGCUAAUACCGGAUAUUAUGAGAUUCUCGCAUGGGAAACUUAUGAAAGCUAUAUGCGCCAAGAGAGAGCCUUGCGUUCCAUUAGCUAGUUGGUGGGGUAACGGCCCACCAAGGCGACGAUGGAUAGCCGGCCUGAGAGGGUGAACGGCCACAAGGGGACUGAGACACGGCCCUUACUCCUACGGGAGGCAGCAGUGGGGAAUAUUGGACAAUGGGCCACAAGCCUGAUCCAGCAAUUCUGUGUGCACGAUGAAGGUCUUCGGAUUGUAAAGUGCUUUCAGUUGGGAAGAAGAAAGUGACGGUACCAACAGAAGAAGCGACGGCUAAAUACGUGCCAGCAGCCGCGGUAAUACGUAUGUCGCAAGCGUUAUCCGGAUUUAUUGGGCGUAAAGCGCGUCUAGGCGGAAAAAUAAGUCUGAUGUUAAAAUGCGGGGCUCAACUCCGUAUUGCGUUGGAAACUGUUUUUCUAGAGUACUGGAGAGGUGGGCGGAACUACAAGUGUAGAGGUGAAAUUCGUA